This is a long non-coding RNA of Vespa mandarinia (Asian giant hornet), 548 nucleotides long. Lineage: Eukaryota; Metazoa; Arthropoda; Insecta; Hymenoptera; Vespidae. The record is from RefSeq and is a predicted model, not a curated record.
GGAGUGAACAUCACACAGUGCCGAAAAAUUAAUUUCAUUCUUAAUUCAUCAGUUUUUUUAUUCGAAUAAAUCAUUUUAUCAGACAAUAUUAGAUAAAUUUUAAUAGACACGUUAAUUGAUAUAAUAAUACAAGUACAUUUGUACAUCUUAUUAAUCAUUUUAUUUAAAAUUUAUUAAAUAUUGCGAUAAUCAAGAUUAAUGUUAGUUACAUCAAAAUCGAAUCUAAAAUCUUACAUUUAAGUACAAUCAAUCGACACGAUCGAUAGCAUCGAAGGAGUCGUUAAUUAACAAUAAGACAACUGGCGCCUAACCGUUGUUCCGGGUCCUUCAAAAGAAAUUCGAUUGGAAGUCACGAGGGUUGAGAGAUUUCCUGUUCCGUGAUUCACGACUUUGACACGUGACGGAUGUUUCCUGGCGCCCACGAUAUAUUCAAGAUAUCCAGGAGCCCAUUCAAUACUGUCGGGACACGUGUCUUAAUUAUGACCGUCUGGACAUUCGUAUUCAGUCGAGCCUGUAUCGGUUCGUUCAUUAAUAAAUUGUUUAUUGCA